Molecule: long non-coding RNA, 6187 nt
Organism: Oryzias melastigma (Indian medaka)
Lineage: Eukaryota; Metazoa; Chordata; Actinopteri; Beloniformes; Adrianichthyidae
Exons: 2
Source: RefSeq, a predicted model, not a curated record
CAAAAAUGGCAAAAUCGGAUGAUAUCCGUACCACGGAAAAAUGGUGACUGCAUUGGUGACUUCAUUUUGUUGGAACCCGAGGUAAGGCAUUUUCUAUCAGUGAUGUCACAGGUUUGUUUUGUCCAUCUACAUUUAUAUCAAUGGCCCGAACUCCCUGCAAGCUCAGAAAGAACCAACAGAACCAAACCGGGUCUGCAACUGUCUGGAACAUCUAUUCUGCGAAUGGUUUGGUUCAUUAAGGUUCUGUGCCGUCAAAAAUCAAGUACACCCUACCAAAGAGGUCUCAAGACGUAGUAUUCGACUACUUUGACUCUACACAUAGACUGUAUAUCCCCGCCCUCCUGGCACUCUAAACAGAAGUACUUCCUGGUUCGGAGACGGUAGCUCUGGUACCUUUUUUUUAAACAUCUUCCUAUUUUUUUUCAUUACAUUUUUUUCUUUAUCGCAAGUUAUUCAAGUUAUAAACUAACCAAUCAGAUGCCUCAGUAAAUGCAUGUGGUGCCCACUAGCCUCACCUACAACAUUUGAUUGACAGAUUCUCCUGAACCGCUUUCAGUAGAAGGGGUGUGGACUUCAAACAAGCUCACUCAGUAGUUGCCAGAGAAACGUCUAAUUGUCGACUGGCUCCAAAAGGCAGCGCCCAUAUUGUGGAAAAAUGGCGGGUGAUUUGGCUUCGUUUCACUGGAGCCGGAGGUAAGACAAUUUCUAUGGGUGACAUCACACGCGCUCUGCAGUCUACUACUUCAGCAACAUUUUUGAAAACUCUCAACAGUAGAUUUUCUCAGAUUCUGUAGCGCCCUCUAGAGGCAGCUGAUGCAACAGAUCAGUCUCAGUGGGUUCUGAAGUUCUAACUUGACCCAGUUUUGUCUGGAAGCAGCUCAAAAGCAGAAUAUGUUAACUUUUAUUUCCCACAGGAAGACAGAGGCAGAAAGACAGAGCUUCAAAAGAUUCAGAGGCUUCAGGAGCUAGUUUUUGAUAAACUUAUUUAGAAGUCCGCUCCACUAAUUUAAAGCUACAUCUCUAAAAUAUUUUCUUUUUUCAUGUGAUCAUUUUUUUUUUAACUUUUUAAGUAACACACAGCACAGCAGGUGCAGGUUCCUCACAUCAGAGUUCGUGUUAGCUUCAUCAGUGUUACGCACAGAACCAGACAGAACCUGCACCUGAGAAGCCCAGGUACCAUCUGUGAUCAGGUGAUUUCUGCACCAGAAACUGACUCAUUGACCCAAACAGAACCUCAUGAAAACCAGUAAAGAACCUGAAUUUAUGAUCAAAGACUUUAAAAGGAGAUGAACUUCCAGAUCAAAGCCAAAACCGCUUUCAAAAGCCAAAACCGUGUCAUUUUAAUCAAAAAUAUAAACAAAGGAGCCUUCAUCUGUUUGCAGAUACAAUCUUUGGAAGCAGGUGAGCAUAAAUAAACUUAAAGAUUCAUCAAACUAUUUUUACUUAAACCUUUAAAUAUUUGAAAACAAUUUUUCUUCCCCAAAUGAGAUUAAUUUGGAUGAAUAGAAAUGUACUGGCGAUAAAAGAGUCGGGUCAGUACCGGCCCCACACAGCUCCAGAUAUCUCAGAGAACUAUUCAGAACAGGUGAUUUAUUGUGAAAAUAUUUCAUUUAAAAUAGAGUUGCUCAACAGUACUGGACGAGCCCUGAUCAAAGGUUCAGGCAAUCGUGAAGUCAUGAAAUCCUCCACAGCAGCAGGUUUUUAAUCACUCCUGUCACCUGUUCACACCUGGUUCCUUAACGUCAGAGAGUCUUUGGACUCUAGCGAGUCCCUCAAAGACCUGUUAGACCUGUUAAAUAGAACACUGAACUUUAUGAUCCAAACGUGACAGUCCUGUUUAGAUCAACAAAGUUUGAGGUGAAAGUUCACCUGUGAACAGAAUCCAGACCCGCCUGAGUCGGUUCCUGACCCAGAAGGAAUUCCUGCUUGUUUGUGUUUUGAGCAGGUGCCCCCCACACCCCCUCCGGUGGGGUAAUCCCUCUGCUGGAGGGGGGGUCAGCAGGUCGGUGCGGGGUGGGGGUUGUUUGUGUCCUGCAGCGCCCCCCCUCCCCUGUCUAAAAAGUUUUCACACCUCUAUUGUCACGCUAAUGCUCUCAUCAGACCGGUUCUAGGAUCUGGUUCUGCUGCUCUGGCUUCCUUAAAGUUCUGACUUUUCAGAAAAAAGUUCUGUUGGGUCACAGCCCCCCUCUCCCGCACUCACCGCCGCCGCAGAUCCCCGCCGGAGCCCGCAAGCACACCACCAGGCUCCACAGCAGCAGCCUCAUCUUCACGCCUCAGAGCCGCGCUCACGUGACCGAGCGAGGGUCGGCUCGGUUCGGUCCGGUCCACCGUUACCAAAGUGCCAUGGUCCCACAGGAACGGAACCAUCAGAGCAGAACCGGUACCACGUCGAAAAAUGAGGGGGGCUUCGCUCACGUCACCCACCCGGGAGCAGCGGGGCGGGGCGACCUCUGAGCGGGGGAGGGGUUAGCCGGCUCGUCAUCAUUGAAGGCGGGGCGAACCUUCGAUCACUUCCUGUUUCGAAAGUGCUGAUUCAGAAUCAAAAAACAGCAAAAUGGCAUUAAAAACACAAAUAAAGCUGACAUGUUUUGUUUUUGUUCUUAAGUAUGAAUAUAUUUAAGUAUUUAAACACAUAUUUAACUUUUUUCUCUGCUUUAUUUUUACAUUUACUUUAAAAUGUAUUCAGUUCUGCUGCUGUCCUGGACCAAAGGAGCAGAUUGUUUUAGUUAUUUUUCUUUCUUUUUACAACUUUGAGAGAAACUUUUCCAUUGAUGAGGAAGAAAGUGACCAAAAAAUAAGAAUUUAGUCAUUUUGAUAAAAAGUUGGACCAGACUCGUACUGUCCCAUGAAAGACAAAAUCCUGUAAAAUGGACUCCACAAAUAUUGUCCUCGAGUCGGGUCAUGGGUAGCACUAGCUGCAGGUCAAUGUUUGUCAGGACAGUUGAACCCACCAUGGUCUUAAAUACCUUAAAUGGUCAUAUUCACCAAACCUACGUCUUGAGUGGUCGUGUCCAUGUUCCUGCUCCUGCUAAAAAGGUCAUUUAUAGCUUUGAUUUUUCAGUGGAAAACUACUUAUAAGGUUUUUGAAGGUUAACUGAUUUCCACUGGUUUGGAGCUCCAUGUGGGUUAAUAUAACAAUUCAUUCAGUCAAUUUGUUAGUAACAAGCUAUGAAAAAAAAACCUUCAUGUAACACAGUGUAAAAGUAGAAAAAAACCCUUCAUUUGGUAUCAAAACCCUUCACAACACAAACUCAAAGACUCACUCCAAGAGCGUCAGUAUGGUGAGCUCUCAAAAGUAGCGUUACCCUCCACUGCUUGCAUAUUUUUUACAGGAAUAUUUUGAAAAUAAAAUAAGUGAAUCGUUAAGUCAAACUGAACAAAAAGAUAUAACAUACGGUAUAAACAUAUAAGGAAUGUGGGUGUGGCUAACAAAAAACCUCUGUUGCUAAGGAAAUCCAAAAAUAUACUUUUGUCAAUACUUUUAAAAAUUACAUAUAUCUGUGCAUCAGACCCAGGCGACUGAAAUAUAAAGUGGUUGCUAUGGAAAUAAAAUGUGUUUUUUCUUUUUAAAUGAUUUUUUUAAGUGAGGGGUGUAAGGGGGAGGAGCUUGUUGCUUUUAUUUUUGACGUUACCUCCACAUUUACCAAUUUUGUUUGUUAUUCAUGUUUGUUUGUAAAUGAAUAAAUGUAAAAGACAAAUAUAUGAGCGUUUCUGUGCAGAUAUCUAAACUCAUUUAUAUUUGAGAACAUUUGUUUUUCAGCUCAGAAACAUCUUGUUCAAUCAGAGAACGACAGGAAUAUUUUGGAUUUCCAUAAAGCUGAAGUUCAUCUGAUGCUUGACUUUUCUGGCCGAGCCACAGCGGAACCAGAUGUGGAGAACCUGAGUUUCCUCAGAACUUCUGAGAAUAAUCACUGAGCAGCGGUCAGGUUAUCAUGCACUCAUCUUUAAUGCAGCUCUAAAACCAGCAGGAACAGUCCCUUCAUUUACCCGGCUAAAAGGUUAAAGCAGGAAAUGACAGAAAAGUGGAGUUCAAAACCAAAAAAACAUCAGAAGAUCUGGACCACAUCCAGAAGAGAGACAGCUGAACCUCAGAAGGAGAUCCGUGUGAAGAGCACCUCCUCUGAGCCGAGGAGUUCGAAGGUCUCACAGAUUUAAGAUGCGUAUGCAAAAACUCCUGUUGGUUCUAGUAAAUACGUAGUGAGUGUUCUGCUCCGGCACAGGUCAAACCAGAACCUUCAGGCAGACCGAAGUCCAGCCCGAACAGCAGGCUUCAGUGCUUACUUUAACCAGAACCGAACCCACAGGAAGCCGACAGCCUCGCCACAGGUGAGUCUGCAGAACCUGCGUUCUUCAACAUCCCGACUACCACAGAACCCAACGCCGUUUCUCCUGGUUCCGUGUGCACCUCUAGUUUCCCCACUCCCGAGGUUCUGCUGGGUUCUAAAGCAUUCCUGUCUACGGUGUGAUCUGCUGCCUGGAGGUUUAAUGCUUUCGUCCGUCACUGAACGACCGAUAAAGGUGAGAAGCUGUUAAACUGGAGCUGGUUCUGCCUGCAGGUGGAGAUGGGCGGAGCUUCAGGCAAACUUCUUCUUGGUGGCCGUGAAUCGUUCCAUGUACUGAGGACAAACAGAGAAGCGUUAGGAACCGGUAGACGGAGACGGGAGGAACUAGUGGACGGUGGACCGACCUUCUCAUAUCCCUCGAGUUCUCUGAGGUUCUUCACCUCGAACAGGUUUCCCUCCACAGAGAGCAGCGACACCUGAGAGUCGCUCAGGAUGGCAUGAGGGAUGGAGUUCAGCUCCAGACAGUUCUCCUCCAGACGGAGGACCUUCAGACGGGGACACCGCGAUAUCUCCGGGGACAGACCCGAGAUCUGGAAAACAGUUUUGUUAGGAAGUUCUUAAGUCCAGAGAAACCCCUGGGAUACUCAAGGAGACAGACCUGGUUCUGGUUCAGGUUGAUCUCGAUGGCCUGCAGAUCCGACACCUCCGGCGGGACGCUGUGAAUGUGGUUACGGGACAGAUCCAGCAUGUCCAGCUGACGCAGCGUUCCCAGUCCCAAGGGGAACUCAGAGAUCUGGUUCCCGGACAGGUUGAGGGUCCGCAGAGCUUUGAGCUGACCCAGAGUAGGAGGUAGCCGCUCGAUCCGGUUCCCGCUCAGGCAGAGGGUCUCCAGCUUCUUCAGCUUCCCCAUCUCACUGGGAAGAGCGGCUGGAGACAAAGACGAGGCGGGUGUUAGAAGACGGAAGGACAGAAGGAACCGUGACGGACAGUCCGGAACUCACUCAGCCGGUUGGAGUUCAGAGUCAGACUCUUCAGCUGCAGGAAAUUUCCGAUGGAAGCAGGAAGAGCCUCGAUCUUGUUACCCGACAGAUCUACGGUUCUUAGGUUGGCUGUGAGUCUCUGCAGUUCCUCUGGAAACUGAAUCGGAUCAGACAGAAGAACACGUCAUGGACACUCAGAACGACGCAGAGAACUUCAGAAUUUAUGAGUCUGGUGGAAAUUGAGGCUUAGAUGUAUCGGGUUCUGGAUCCCUGAGGUUUUGUGGAGCUUGGUGGAUAAGUGACCCACUUGAUCACAGGUCAGAGGAACCAGCAAACCCUUUGAAUGUGACAGUCAUAUUCUGAUCACAGUUUGAUCCAGAGAACCUGAUGAUCGUGUAGACUGUGCUUUUUGUGGGUUCUGGUGGUUUUGCUGCUUGUGUUUCAAAACUAUGUGUAGAUCGGAUCACAGUUGGCCUCUAAAGUUGACCAUCUGAGGAUCUCCAUCCCCCUCCCCCUUGGCUCACCUCCUGCAGCCCCUUGGCCGUCAGCUGGAACACCCCCGUCUUCUGGGAGGUCUCCAGGUGAGACUUGAGCGCGCUGUUCCCCAUCUGGACCUUCAACCUGUCCUUGUCUACAGCAGCAGGGAGGUGCUCAUGUCCACCACUUCAGAGCGCCCCUCCUCCAGAGAGAAGGUCCUGGACCUUUGAAGAAAUAAAGACAGAGGAUGGAGGACCUUCAUGCAGGAGGAGAAAACACACAAGUGGGUUUGAGUCAAACUAAAAACCAUUUCAAAAGAUCUGGUUUUUGAAAAGCCUGACAAACGUCUUGGGUAGUCAAUUGCCAAAUGUUGGGUUCCAUCUAUAUGCAGAUGAUGCUGUCAUCUACACAACUGUCUCUAUUAGCAAUAAAUGAGCUCCAGAGUGA